Molecule: ribosomal RNA, 478 nt
Filed under: uncultured bacterium
Lineage: Bacteria
Description: partial 16S ribosomal RNA
Rfam family: Bacterial small subunit ribosomal RNA
Source: RNAcentral
GACGAACGCUGGCGGCGUGCUUAACAUAUGCAAGUCGAACGGUAAGGCCCUUCGGGGUACACGAGUGGCGAACGGGUGAGUAACACGUGGGUGAUCUGCCCUGCACUUCGGGAUAAGCCUGGGAAACUGGGUCUAAUACCGGAUAGGACCACUGCCUGCAUGGGUGGUGGGGGAAAGCUUUUGCGGUGUGGGAUGGGCCCGCGGCCUAUCAGCUUGUUGGUGGGGGGAUGGCCUACCAAGGCGACGACGGGUAGCCGGCCUGAGAGGGUGACCGGCCACACUGGGACUGAGAUAAGGCCCAGACUCCUACGGGAGGCAGCAGUGGGGAAUAUUGCACAAUGGGCGCAAGCCUGAUGCAGCGACGCCGCGUGAGGGAUGACGGCCUUCGGGUUGUAAACCUCUUUCAGCACCGACGAAGCGCAAGUGACGGUAGGUGCAGAAGAAGGACCGGCCAACUACGUGCCAGCCGCCGCCGUAA